UGACAGGUCCAAGGCAGCUGUCUAGCACAACACGGGACAGGCUGAAGUCAUCUCUGAAGACAUCUGCUGCUCUGAAAUGAGAUGUGAUGAGUAACAUGAGUAAAGGUGAAUGAACCAGGGAAGCAAGAUGCAUGUGCAUGUCCAGCGUGGCCCGACUGAGAUAAUGUGGGAGUCUCUGGUGAUGAUGGGCCCAAGUUCUCAACACUAGCUGGGGAAUUUCUUUUUGUAGUGAAGCUUGGCGUUACAUCCCCACCAAAAAAAGACAUCGUAGUCACUGGCGGUGGUGACCGCCUCUGGAAAAUGUGGGCUUUACGUGAUGGGAACAUCAUCCUGACAGGUGAAGGUCACACUGAUUGCCUUUCGGGCUGCUGCUUCCAUCCGAGUGGCACCCAAGUGGUCACUUUGAGUGGAGAUAGAACAGUGCGAAUAUGGGACUUGGCAAAGCGCAGGUGCAUUCUGACUUUAGGAGGACACAUCUGCACCGUGUGGGACUGCUCCUGGUGUUCACGUGGGGAUUUCGUGGCUUCUGCCUCCAUGGACAAAACGGGCAAAAUAUGAAGUGUUAACAGUGAGAGAUGCCGGUGCAUGAUGGGUGGCCGUAAAGAUUCAGUCAACAGCACUGGGGUUCUUCUGUUUUCCAGCACUGUGCUCACUAGCUCUGCUGACGAGACUUUAUCUCUCUGGGAUGCCAGUAGGAGGCUGAUGGAGCGCUGGAACAACUCCCCAGGGAAGCAGUCACAGCCCCAAGCCUGACAAUAUUCUAGAAGCAUUUGGCCAAUGCCCUCAGCCCCACGGUGUGGACGUUGGGGUUGUCCUGUGCAGGGACAGGAGCUGGACUUGAUGGUCCCUUUGGGUCCCUUCCAACUCACGAUGUUCGAUGAUGCUGACACGUGA
Molecule: RNA transcript, 894 nt
Organism: Cuculus canorus (common cuckoo)
Lineage: Eukaryota; Metazoa; Chordata; Aves; Cuculiformes; Cuculidae
Gene name: sperm-associated antigen 16 protein-like
Exons: 6
Source: RefSeq, a predicted model, not a curated record